Non-coding RNA from Podospora didyma, 111 nucleotides. Lineage: Eukaryota; Fungi; Ascomycota; Sordariomycetes; Sordariales; Podosporaceae. The record is from the annotation of a GenBank genome assembly.
GGCUGGAUGGUGGAGUGGUCUAACACGCUAGUCUCAAGUAUCAUCUUGACCCUGAAAAAGGGAUAAAUACUAGUCUCGCAAGAGGCGCGAGUUCGAAUCUCGCUCCAGUCA